RNAcentral lists this ribosomal RNA (274 nucleotides) under uncultured eukaryote. RNAcentral's name for it is "partial small subunit ribosomal RNA". It matches the Rfam family "Eukaryotic small subunit ribosomal RNA", at positions 587 to 864 of the family's 1831-position model. The record is from RNAcentral.
AGCUCCAAUAGCGUAUAUUAAAGUUGUUGCGGUUAAAAAGCUCGUAGUUGGAUUUCUGCCGAGGACGACCGGUCCGCCCUGUGGGUGCGCAUCUGGCUCGGCCUGGGCAUCUUCUUGGAGAACGUAUCUGCACUUUACUGUGUGGUACGGUAUCCAGGACUUUUACUUUGAGGAAAUUAGAGUGUUUCAAGCAGGCUCACGCCUUGAAUACAUUAGCAUGGAAUAAUAAGAUAGGACUUCAGUUUCUAUUUUGUUGGUUUCUAGAGCUGAGGUA